Molecule: long non-coding RNA, 1117 nt
Organism: Felis catus (domestic cat)
Lineage: Eukaryota; Metazoa; Chordata; Mammalia; Carnivora; Felidae
Exons: 3
Source: RefSeq, a predicted model, not a curated record
GUCAGCCACGGAGUUGAGGGUGGGGGUUUGAGUGGGUCAGGCGCUUACAGCUUUGGAGGCGCCUAUGGGCCAGUUUCAGAGGACCUGCAAAUGACUUCCAGAGUCUUUUCCUCGUGGAGUUGGUGAAGCACUAAGAUCUACCGCCUUGGUGACUGUGCUCCUAGCUUCUCUCAAGUUGUGUGGAUCAUCUCAGUAUCCUGGCUUGAGGGAUCUUUUGCUCCAAUGACCUGCUGUGGUGGACUCCCGGACCUCCCACAAAGCAGGUUCCUGUGAUGGCCCUGGGGAAGACGUGCCCCUAGAGGGUGGAGGGGACCAUGGCCGUCAUAGCACCUGUUCCAGUGUAACCUCACAUUGGUACAUGGGCCUGUCCAUAAGAACAUCAAUCUUGUAUUGAAACAGUUUGUUUUCAAAACCUACGUUAUGGUUUUUGCUGGCAAUGAACAAGGCUAAAUGAUAUACAGUUCCCAGACUGCUCCUCUUCUUUGUGAUGAAAAGGGCUGCAAAAUAAGAUUUUAAGUAUUUACAAUCAUCUAAUAAAAUGCUUCAUGAGUAUUUAUGAGGUACUUCUUUAACUGGAUAAAUUGUAAUAUUAAUCAAAAUCAAGACUACUACUUGGAGUUCUUCCAAGAACCCAGAUUAUAGACGAAGCUUUUCAGGUAUUUCUCAAUUCAUUAAGUUUCAGUUAAGUUGUUUAUCCCAUUCUUUCUGCAUGUGCAAGAAUGCAGUUAUUUGACAGGAAGUCAAACAAUCCCAGUACGAAUAGCUGUUUGCUGGUUUAUUAGCUAAAUCAUGAUGACUUAGGAUAUUGUUAAUAUUAAAUAAAAUGCCUUCUAAGUGAAUAUGUAUGAAUGCAGUUUCAUUAUGUUGUGAUUUCUUCUCUGUUCUGUGAUUGAGACCCGGUGGGAGGCAAAUUCAUACAUCAAAAUUAAUCCUUUGCACAUCCUCUUUCCUUCCCCUCCUUCCUUUUACCACCUGGCCCCCUCUUGGGUGGGGUAGGGCUUGGGGCAUAGUGUUUUAUGAUAGUGACACAGACCAUGUUGGAGUUUAAUGGUUUGUGGACUUAGAAACAAAAAAGGGGCGCCUGGGUGGCACAGUCGGUUAAGCGUCCGACUUCAGC